UUAACCAGGGUGUUUAUUCCCUUUUAAUACUCGAAAACCAAUAAUAAACUAAGCGUGUAGAAAGCUUAUCGGUUCCUUGUUUGGACGAGGGUUCGAAUCCCUCCAGCUCCACUC
RNAcentral lists this transfer-messenger RNA (114 nucleotides) under Lentimicrobiaceae bacterium. Its description in RNAcentral is "partial transfer-messenger RNA". It matches the Rfam family "transfer-messenger RNA", at positions 258 to 374 of the family's 374-position model. Rfam says of the family: Bacterial tmRNA, also known as 10Sa RNA or SsrA, is named for its dual tRNA and mRNA-like properties. Lineage: Bacteria; Pseudomonadati; Bacteroidota; Bacteroidia; Bacteroidales; Lentimicrobiaceae. The record is from RNAcentral.